AGAGCAGAAAACGACCAUGAGGGACUCUUGUGGUUUUCAUUAUUUAUACCUUUAUUAUACAAAUUUUCUCCAGCAAUCCCAUGGUUACUCCAUGAUUUUAAAAACUAAAACUGGAGUUCCCAUCGUGGCGCAGUGGUUAACGAAUCCAACUAGGAACCAUGAGGUUGCGGUUCGAUCCCUGGCCUUGCUCAAUGGGUUAACGAUCCGGCGUUGCCGUGAGCUGUGGUGUAGGUCGCAGACGCGGCUCAGAUCCCACGUUGUAGGCUGGCAGCUACAGCUCCAAUUAGACCCCUAGCCUAGGAAACUCCAUAUGCCGCAGGAGUGGCCCUAGAAAUGGCAAAAAGACCUAAAUAAAUAAAUAAAUAAAUAAAAACUAAAACUCAUACUGAGUGCUUGGUAAGGUCUUAUUUAGGGCACAUAAUCAAUUAAAAAUUGCCAAAAAGCAAAUAAAUCAUUAAAAAUAGAAAAGGCAAUUGGUGAUUUGCCCACAGUAGUCUAGGUUUUUCAAAACAAUAAAUGAAACACAGCCUUUUUAACUGUCCCUGACACAUUUACAAAAAAUUAAACAAGUACUAGUCAACCAGAAAUAAUAAAUAUCAAAACCAGAACUUUACCAGCUAUUUUUCUGUCCACGAAAUAAUAAAAAGCAAAAUCAAUAGCUAAAAGAUUUUAAAAAAAAGUCCUCAAAACACCCCAAUAAUUAAGUGUUAGCUAAGGAAGGUAAUCAAACAAACCAUAGGCUACAUGUAAAAUAAUGAUAAUGGCUCCAACACAUAGCAAUAUUUGUAGGAUUCAGCCAAGGCUGGACUCAGAAGGGGAAAUCAGCCCUACAUAAAAUUUUUAAAUAGGGAGUUCCUGUUGCACCUCAGCAGGUUACCAACCCAGCUAGUAUCCAUGAGGACGGAGGUUAGAUCCCUGGCCCCAUUCAGUGGUUAGAGAUCCAGUGUUGCCAAGAGCUGUGAUGUAGGUCACAGAUGCGGCUGAGAUCUGGCAUUACUGUGGCUGUGGCUGUGGCUGUGGCUGUGGUGUAGAUCAGCAGCUGCAGCUCCGAUUCGACCCCUAGCCUGGGAAUGUCCAUAGGCCACAGGUGCGGCCCUGAAAAAGCAAAACAAGCGAACGAAUAAAAAUUAAAUAAAAUAAAGAAUGAAAAUACAAUUGGCCCUCCCCACCCACCAAUGCAGAACCAGUGGGCUGGGCCAUUACAUGCAGGAGUUGAAGAUCUACAGAUUUUGGUUUCCCAGGGGUGCUGGACCCAGUUGCCCAUGGAUACCAAGGGGUGAAUGGAUGUGAGACACUCAAUACAAAAACAGAGGGGAAACGACAAACAAAAUGAUCCUAAGCAAAGCGGGAGAAAGGGAUUCAUUUUUUUUUUGAAGAAUGAAGAGAAAUAAAAAGUAAAAAGGGAAGACUAGGCCAAAAAAAAUCUAAUAAUCAGUUCUUUCUUAAAGGUCUGAUUGAAAAAAUACAAACCUCUAGCAAACCAGACGGGGGAUGGGGGUAGGGAGAGACAGAGACAGACACACACACAAAGAGAGAGAGAGAAAAAACACAAGACCUAUGAGAAUUAAACUAUAAACACUGAGGGAUCUUAAACUAUUAAAUUUCCUCUACAGGGAGUUCCCACCAUGGCACAGCGGAAAUGAAUCUGACUAGGACCCAUGAGGUUGCGGGCUCAAUCCCUAGCCUCAGUCAGUGAGUUAAGGAUCUGGCGUUGCCAUGAGCUGUGGUGUAGGUCAAAGACAUGGCUUGGAUCCUGCAUUGCUGUGGCUGUGAUGCAGGCUGGCAGCUGCAGCUCCGAUUAGACCCCUAGCCUGGGAAGCUCCAUAUGCCAUAGGUGCAGCCCUAAAAAAGCAAAAUAAAAUAAAAUAAAAUAAAAUAAAAAAUAAAUAAAAUUUCCUCUACAACCAAAAAACUGGAAAAUGCAAAAGAAAGUAAUGAUUGUAUUAAGAUAAUCCCCUCCCCCAAAUAAUAGACUUGACUAAACUAAUAACCAAGAAAGAAUAUUGGGAAAAGUUAUCAAAGAACAACUGGAGGGGGGGAGGAUGUGCCAUGCACAAAUUAUUCAUAAAUUCUUUCAAACUUUGAAAAGGUAAUAUAAAAGCUAGACAGAUUGUUAGGUUACAGAAAAAUAUGGGGAUCUCCCAGUCUAUUUGGCAUAACUCUAUAUGGCUGGCAUAAAUCUGGUUCCAAAACCAAAGCAGAUAAUGUAGGAAAAACAAAAACAAAAACUUUAGACUUCUGUUCCAGCCAAGACAGAGCAACUUUUAAGAAACCAAUGUCCCUGCCAAGAACAACUAGGAAAGCUGCUAUGAUACAUCACCUGUUCUGAGACAUUCAAGAACUGCUCAGCAGCUGGGAUUUAAAGCACCAAAAUCCUAAAGGAAAAAAAAUGAUGGAGGUGUGCCUGACAUCCUGCAUUCUGGUCUUCCUCUUGGGUUAUUUACCACUUCCUAAAUGGUGUGGGGUUAGAUGCUGAAAAGCUUGGCAGAAGCACAAAGAUAAAGCAAAGAAGCCCAGGAACGGUGAGGAAAGCCUUCCACAGUCUUACAGGGCUGGGAAGAUACAAAAUGUGACAGCACCUAUCUAGGGUUCCAGGGUCCAGUCAUGACUAGAGGGUCCAAAGCUGGUACAGAGGGAGAUAGUGUGCCUACCUCUUUACCCACUCUACUUUUAAAAUAGGUGAUGAUUCUUAAUCAAAGGAGGGUGAGAGACUAAACCGCCUUGCACAAAGAGGCUGGAUAACUGAACAGAACUUUCAGGAGACUCGUGGUGCUGGGAAAAUAAGUUUUGGGGUUCAGGAACCACCAAGGCAAAAACAAACUCUCAAGGAUCUUGGGGAGAGGAGAAUGACCACAAGUUACCAAGCCUUCCAAAGACUGCAAAUCAGCCUCAGCUUCUGAUCAAAUUGAGGUGAUCUGCCCCUUCUCUGCCUGACAGAGGACACGAGGACACGAUAAAUCCUUAGGAGACAGGCUAGGCGAAUCCUCUUUGCAAGAAGGGAACAUCAUCCAUGACAUGAAUAAAUGUCCCACAUUCGACUGAAAAGUACCAGGCACACUAAGACACAGGAGCAAGAGUCAAAAUAAAUAUUAGACCCACAGGCAAUAUAAUUACCAGAGUUAUCAAACACGGCCUUCAAAAUAAUGGAGAAAUGGAUAACUACACGGAGAAUUUAACCAGAGCAGAAUUAAUCUAAAAGACAGACUAAAUGAAAUUAAGAAUCCAAUAAAUGGGUUUUCUAACAUCAUACAAAACACAGAAUCAGUAAAGUAAAAGACAUGUUAGAAGAAUAGAAAAGUUAGACUUAAUUGACAUUUUCAGGACACUACAUCCAAAAAAAUCAGGAUACACAUUCUUCUCAAGUGCACAUGGAACAUUCUCAAGGACUGAUCAUAUAUUUGGGCAUAAAGCUAACCUCAAAAAAUUUAAGAGUACAUAAAUUAUUUCAAGUAUCUUCUCUGACCACAAUGGCUUGAAACUAGAAAUCAACCACAGGAAAAGAAAUGAGAAAAAAAGCUACUACAUGGAGACUAAACAACAUGCUACUAAAAACCCAAUAGGUCAAUGAGGAAAUCAAGAAGGAAAUGAACAAAUACCUUGAGACAGGAGUUCACAUCGUAGCACAGUCGUUAACGAAUCUGACUAGAAACCAUGAGGUUUCAGGUUCAAUCCCUGGCCUUGCUCAGUGGGUUAGGGAUCCAGCGUUGCCGUGAGCUGUGGUGUAGGUUGCAGAUGCAGCUCGGAUCCCAUGUUGCUGUGGCUCUGGUGUAGGCCAGUGGCUAUGGCUCUGAUUGGGCCCCUAGCCUGGGAAUCUCCAUAUGCCAUGGGAGUGGCCCUAGAAAAGACAAAAAGAUAAAAAAAAUACCUUGAGACAAAUGAUAAUGAAGUCACAACCACUCAAAAUCUAUGGGAUGCCACAAAAGCAGUGGUCAGAGGGAAAUUCAUAGCAAUACAGGCCUUCCUCAAAAAAGAAGAAAAAUCUCAAAUUGACAACGCACCACCUAAAUGAAUUGGGAAAAGAAGAACAAAAACAACAACAACAAAAAACUAAAGUCAUCAGAAGGGAGGAAAUCAUAAAGAACAAAGAGGAAAUCAAU
RNAcentral lists this long non-coding RNA (4097 nucleotides) under Sus scrofa (pig). Its description in RNAcentral is "lncRNA (ENSSSCG00015008859.1)". Lineage: Eukaryota; Metazoa; Chordata; Mammalia; Artiodactyla; Suidae. The record is from RNAcentral.